RNAcentral lists this ribosomal RNA (253 nucleotides) under uncultured bacterium. RNAcentral's name for it is "partial 16S ribosomal RNA". It matches the Rfam family "Bacterial small subunit ribosomal RNA", at positions 524 to 776 of the family's 1533-position model. The record is from RNAcentral.
UACGUAGGGUCCGAGCGUUGUCCGGAAUUAUUGGGCGUAAAGGGCUCGUAGGCGGUCUGUUGCGUCGGGAGUGAAAACUUACAGCUUAACUGUGAGCGUGCUUCCGAUACGGGCAGACUUGAGGUAUUCAGGGGAGAACGGAAUUCCUGGUGUAGCGGUGAAAUGCGCAGAUAUCAGGAGGAACACCGGUGGCGAAGGCGGUUCUCUGGGAAUAUCCUGACGCUGAGGAGCGAAAGCGUGGGGAGCGAACAGG